Corvus hawaiiensis (hawaiian crow) is the source of this 1279-nucleotide long non-coding RNA. RefSeq lists it as uncharacterized. The transcript has 3 exons. Lineage: Eukaryota; Metazoa; Chordata; Aves; Passeriformes; Corvidae. The record is from RefSeq and is a predicted model, not a curated record.
GCUCCUUCCUGAGCUGGGCCCAGGGCUGGGGCAGCUCUGCAGGUGGGGGCUCAGCUGAAUUCCCGGAGCUGUUUUCUUGGAAGAGGCCACUCAGCACCUUAAAUAAAUGUUUAAGCCAAAUUAGGCUUUCCCCCCAGGUCAGGCUUCUGCAUCUUGUGUUUUCAGCAUUUCACUAGACCCCAAUGACACUUCCUGGUUGAUGCUAUAAAGAUAGAUGCAUUAUACAUACACUGUAUAAAAUGUAUAAAGAAUACUACAUUUUCUCUAGUUGUUAUCCCUAACACUUGUGUCUCCCUAGAGGAAUUCGCGGAUUUUGACGAUUUUCCGGGGGUUUGAGCCCACUAGAGGGAGGUGUGCACCAAGCGUGCUUUAAACUGCACCGCUGCCAGGCAGAACGGGCAGUUUAAGAAGAACUCGCGCUGACUGCAGAUAAAAAUAAUUGAUGAACGCCGUUUAAAAGCCAGGAAAUAAAACCAGAAGGAAUCAGUAUGCCUUUUUAAAAUUAAAAACGCCUCCUUUGCUGAUGUAGUUACAGCUCAACCACAGCAUGAGGUCCCAGUUGCUCCUGCGACUUGCUUUGCUGUCUGCUCUGAUUAAGUACUGAAUGUGUGGUCCUUUCUUUUCCAGCCUGGAAUUUUAUGUGUAUAUGUGUCUAGCCAGGAUCAGCCACACUUAAGAUCAAGCUUUGCAGGCAGCGGACAAGGGUGUUUCACACCUUUCUGCUAAAUCAGUAAUAGAGUAUUUACCUCCAAUAUCACUUAUUUGGCAGAGGUCACGCCUGUUUAAAUUUGCUUUGGCUUGGGUUUGUUCCAGGUUGAUGUUACUGGGCUAGGAAGUCUCCUGUACCUGGGCACCAGAAACACGCAGUGAGGAAAUGAAUUAAUUUAAACUUGAUUUGCAGAGCAUUUCACUUAAGCUCAUGUCUUCAGAUCACAAAGUUGUAAUUUCUAGGGAUGAAGCCAUUCACCUGAACAUAUCCUUGGGCAGCAGUGCAGCCAUCUUCCAGCUGCCCCUGGAGGUACUGGAGGGCACAGACCCUCCUCCCCACACCUCAGCCUCAGGAUGGGCUCCACUCGGAGGAGAACGUGCCCCAAGCAAACAGAAAACAGUCCUGAGGAUUGUCAUGAGGGAGUAGGACUGAGCAAAGUUGUCCUGCAUAGACUUAGUAGGUAUGUGACUGUCCAAGUUUAAUUUAAUGUAUUAAUUACUGAUGUGGAAUGAAAAAUGAAAAUACACCAUUCCUAUGAAGCAGCUGAGUAGCUAUUGCUGGCCAUAUAGA